Long non-coding RNA from Pungitius pungitius (ninespine stickleback), 1124 nucleotides. RefSeq lists it as uncharacterized. The transcript is spliced from 3 exons. NCBI's taxonomy places the organism in Eukaryota, Metazoa, Chordata, Actinopteri, Perciformes, Gasterosteidae. The record is from RefSeq and is a predicted model, not a curated record.
GCUGGAGGUGUUGGCCGAGGGCCGUGGAGCGCACAGACCAUCAAUUAAUGCGCCAUUACGAGGUGCCAGGGUGUGUGUGUGUGUGUGUGUGUGUGAAGCUCAGAUCUAAUUAUUCCCGGCUGUCCUCAUAGUGGGGACGGAGUCAUUUAGACGGACUGCUGGUGCUUUUCAUUGCUGCAGUACCUCUCACUGUUCCUUUACAUCUCUCUCUCUCUCUCCCCCUCUCAUCCUUCCACGCGCCCUGCCUCACCCCACCUCUCUCUCCUCCUCCUCCUCCUCCUUCGUCCCUCCUCCCCCCUCCACCCAUCCACCUCUACCUCUGUAUCCCUCUCUCUCCGCUUGCAGAUCCCACAUCACACCACACGCUCUCCCUUUCUCUUUCUCCUCUCCUUCUUCUUCUUCUUCUCUCUCUCUCUCUCUCCCUCUCACUCUCUCGCUCGGCUCGACACCGGCUGUCAGUUUGUUUUGCCGCGGCGGAGCAACACCUUGCGAGGACAAGAGAACGUGGAAGAGUGGAAGGAGAGAAAGUGGUGGAGGACCGGGGGGGAGGAGGUGAAGAUGAGAAAAGGAAGAGGAGGAGGGGAUCUUUUGUUACUCAUCCAUCCCUCCCCUCAUCCCCUCUCUUAGGGCAGCAUCAGCACCACUAACCUGCUCCCCCGCUGCUGGAUCCUCCGUGUCCCGCCGGGAUCUGCCUCCGUCUUCUCCUCAGGGAGGGGGGGGGAUCUCCCUCCCCCUCCCACCUUGCCACGGACCCUCGGCAAAAGGCGUCGGGAAGGAAAGGGGAGGGAUUUUUUUUUCCAAAGAGGUCGUUGGGAGACCAGAGGAGAGGCAACACCCUGGGUUACAGGAGAGGAGAAGAAGAGAGGACCUCAUGAUGCUGGGUCCAGCGGAAGCGGCAGCACCGGGGAAGACAGAUGUUCCCGCCGGAGGCCCCCAGAAGACAGAGGCGGCGUCCAGAGGACGCGCUGGUGGGAGCAGGCCCCGCCUCCAAGCGACGUGACGGCCACACGCGCUCUGCCUGUGUGUGUGUGUGUCUGUGUGGCAGGAGGGGGGCUGAAGGGUGGCCGCCGAUGGCCACGGUGGCAGUGGUGACUCACGCAGUUUGUCGGCGUAGCUCCCCCCCC